UAAUCCAUAAAAUAUCAGGAGCAAAUUGCUACAAAGCUCCAUUUCUUAUAUAUAUAUAUAUAUCUUUAUUGGAGUAUAAUUGCUUUGCAAUGUUGUGUUAGUUUCUGCUGUACAACAAAGUGCAUCAGCUCUAUCAGCUCUAUGUAUACAUAUAGUCCCAUAUCCCCUCCCUCUUGAGCCUCCCUCCCUCCCUCCCUAUCCCACCCCUUAGGUCUUCCCAAAGCAAAGCUCCAGUUCUUACAUCACAGUCUGAUGGGAGUCAUGGGGUCUCCCUGUGCCCUGGAGCUACAUUAUCUGGAACAUGUGGCCUCCAGAAACACCUUGCAGGGAAGAGAGAGAAGGAGGACCAGUCCUGGCUACUUGCCAUCUGCACCUGGAAAUGACAUGUGUGCCUCCAGAUCACAGCUCAUCAGGCAAAACUAGUCACCUGGUGCCACCUCCUUACAUGGUGGUCUAAGAAAUACAGUCGUCUGGCAUCCUUAAGCACGCAAGCCUCAAAGAGGAGGGUCCACGAAGGAACAAGGGUUGUCCUACGGCAUCCAGUACAAGUAUGGAACGCUUCACGAAUUUCGCAGAUCUGCGAGUCAUCCUUGCGCGGGGGCCAUGCUCAUCUUCUCUGUGUCGUUGCAAUUUUAGUGUACGUGCUGCCGAGGCGGGCACCCUCACGUGGCUGUAUCUGGACAUGGGGUUUUGCGGGAGCUCCUGCUUUGUGCAUGAUAAUACCCUUCAAGAAUGCAAAACAGUACAGUAGCUCUUCUUCAGUGCCAGACCUUAUCAACAAUAAUCUUCAGCAAGGAAUUCAGGGAGAAUUACACUUUCAACAUUUUACAAGGUCAUGGAGUUUGCAGACUUUCUAUUGGAGUCAGAAGAGAAAGAACAAGAAUGGGAGAAGAAGGAAGAUUCGAAGAGAUAAUAACUGGGAACUUUCCAGAAUCGAUGAACGAUGUUGACACAUAGAUGGAUGGUGUUCAGCAAACCACAAACAGGAGAAACACAAAGGAAAUGACACCUGACAAUUUCCUAGACACAAUUUCCUGAACACCAAAGAUGCAGAGUGAAUCUCCAAAGCAGCUAGGGAACAAAAAGACGUAUCAUACACGAGCGCGUGACAUUCUGAAUUACGGCUGACUUUUCACCAGAAGAAACAAAGAGGCCAGAAGCAAUGGAAAGAUAUCUUCAAGGUGAUGAAAGAAUAGUGUCAACUUGGAAUUACAGAUCCCGUGAAAAUAUCCUUCAAAACUGAAAGUGGAAUAAAGACAUUUUCAGGUACAAUGAAAAUGUAGACCCACUCCACAAGACAUGCUAAAAAAUACAAAAAUAAAACGUGUGCAGAAAGAAGGAAAAAAUACCAACUAAGAGCCCAGUUAUGGAAAAAGGAAAGAAUAGAAAGCAAAAGUGUAAAUAUCUGGAUAAAUAUAAAAUAGCUUUCUUUAAAGUAUCCAUGUUGUUCAAGUGUCUUUUAAUAAGUAUUCACUGUUUAAAACAAAAAUGACAAGAAUGUUUUGUUAGAUGGAUAGGCUAUGUAGCAGUGGAUUGCAAAAUAAUGAGAAUGUAAUGGGCAGGGAGGUAUUUCGUGCAAUUAUUCUACUGUAAGGUCCUUAUGGAGUUUGUGCAUAUUUCUGAAAGUAGUAUAAUUUUUUAAGGUGGACUCUGCUACAUUAAAGAUAAGUAUUGGGGUGUCUAGAGAAGUGCUUUUCAAGAGCUAGAGGGUAAGGAGCCACCCAGAAGCUUCCUUUGUGUCUUUCAAAGUAGGGUAAUUUUGCUUCCUUUUUCAUAUUUCUCUAUUUUCCAGAUUU
Physeter macrocephalus (sperm whale) is the source of this 1796-nucleotide long non-coding RNA. RefSeq lists it as uncharacterized. Lineage: Eukaryota; Metazoa; Chordata; Mammalia; Artiodactyla; Physeteridae. The transcript is spliced from 4 exons. The record is from RefSeq and is a predicted model, not a curated record.